GAAGAAAGAGGGAGGCGUGCUUAACACAUGCAAGUCGAACGGAAAGGCCCUGCUUUUGUGGGGUGCUCGAGUGGCGAACGGGUGAGUAACACGUGAGUAACCUGCCCUUGACUUUGGGAUAACUUCAGGAAACUGGGGCUAAUACCGGAUAGGAGCUCCUGCUGCAUGGUGGGGGUUGGAAAGUUUCGGCGGUUGGGGAUGGACUCGCGGCUUAUCAGCUUGUUGGUGGGGUAGUGGCUUACCAAGGCUUUGACGGGUAGCCGGCCUGAGAGGGUGACCGGCCACAUUGGGACUGAGAUACGGCCCAGACUCCUACGGGAGGCAGAAGUGGGGAAUAUUGAAAAAUGGGCGGAAGCCUGAUGCAGCAACGACGCGUGCGGGAUGACGGCCUUCGGGUUGUAAACCGCUUUCGCCUGUGACGAAGCGUGAGUGACGGUAAUGGGUAAAGAAGCACCGGCUAACUACGUG
Molecule: ribosomal RNA, 468 nt
Filed under: uncultured bacterium
Lineage: Bacteria
Description: partial 16S ribosomal RNA
Rfam family: Bacterial small subunit ribosomal RNA
Source: RNAcentral